GCUUGUCUCAAAGAUUAAGCCAUGCAUGUCUAAGUGUAAAUACGUCUACACUGUGAAACUGCGAAUGGCUCAUUAAAUCAGUUAUCGUUUAUUUGAUGAUCUCUUGUUACAUGGAUAACCGUAGUAAUUCUAGAGCUAAUACAUGCGUCAAACCCCGACUUCUGGGAGGGGUGUAUUUAUUAGAUGGAAACCAAUGCGGGGCAACCCGGUAUAUGGUGAUUCAUAAUAACUUUCGGAUCGAUCUUCGGAUCGAUGCAUCAUUCAAGUUUCUGCCCUAUCAGCUUUGGAUGGUAGGGUAUUGGCCUACCAUGGCUUUAACGGGUAACGGAGAAUUAGGGUUCGAUUCCGGAGAGGGAGCCUGAGAAAUGGCUACCACAUCCAAGGAAG
This 387-nucleotide ribosomal RNA is filed under the name uncultured Spumella. RNAcentral's name for it is "partial small subunit ribosomal RNA". It matches the Rfam family "Eukaryotic small subunit ribosomal RNA", at positions 30 to 424 of the family's 1831-position model. The record is from RNAcentral. Lineage: Eukaryota; Synurophyceae; Ochromonadales; Ochromonadaceae.